CGGGCCAUAGCGCAGUUUGGUAGCGCGUCCGUCUGGGGGACGGAAGGUCGUGAGUUCGAAUCUCGCUGGCCCGACCA
RNAcentral lists this transfer RNA (77 nucleotides) under Pikeienuella piscinae. Its description in RNAcentral is "tRNA-Pro". It matches the Rfam family "tRNA". Rfam says of the family: Transfer RNA (tRNA) molecules are approximately 80 nucleotides in length. Lineage: Bacteria; Pseudomonadati; Pseudomonadota; Alphaproteobacteria; Rhodobacterales; Paracoccaceae. The record is from RNAcentral.